Molecule: long non-coding RNA, 1352 nt
Organism: Triplophysa rosa
Lineage: Eukaryota; Metazoa; Chordata; Actinopteri; Cypriniformes; Nemacheilidae
Exons: 3
Source: RefSeq, a predicted model, not a curated record
AUGAAGACUUUGCCCAAGUUGCAGCAGCGCUCGUCAAAGCACACCCAUGUUUGAGUGAACCAGGCUCCUCAACAGGCUCAGCUGGUUGGAAAAACAGCCUGAAAUUUAAGAUGGCCAACUACCGAACUAAACUGCGUAAAUCUGGCUGUAGUGAUGUUGCUGUUGAGGGAAAGAGAGGUGCAACAAUGGACAGCAUGCUAAAGAAAGGCAUUAAAAAACCUAGACGGUUUAAAUUAAAUUUCUUGCCAAACUUUCCCAAUGGGGAGAAUGAAGAAAGUCAAGAACGCACAAGAGUAGAACUUCAAGAGGAAAUGAAAAAGAGGACCCGGAACAUGAGCCUGAUUGGCCAGAAGAUGGACAGCACUUUUGCCCUGAGGAGAAAGGAAAUCAUUCAUUCAGAACCUCCUGUUUGUGAAAUUUUGGAGAAGUGGCCAGCACUUUUUACUGAAAAUCAGAUCUUUGCAGAAUUCAGUCGCAUAUCUGGGAAAAAUCUUGAGAUCCGAGUUCUACGCAUCAUUGGACACACACUCUGCACGUUUGAUUGAAAUUUUCCGAAAGAAAGGAGGAAAUCAGGGAUUCAGAUGUAGAUGUUGACUUAAGUGGAGUUGAUGUUGGCCUGCUCACAGUUUUACCUGAAGAUACGCCUGCCCAAACUCCAAAUGCUCUCAAUGUUGACUCAUCAAGGGCAAUCAUUCUGGAGGGAAGAAUUGUUGUGGAUGAUGUCCCAAACUUGCCACAUGCUGUAUGUCUCCUCUUUGCUUUAAUCUAUGCUCUAAAUUUGGACUACCCAAAGACAAUGAGGAACUCAUUUGAUUUUAUUCAGAGGGUAUUUCUGUUGUUGGGAGGUAAGAAUCUUAAUCCCAAACUCCAAACCCUUAAAAAACAGUUUUUAGCUAAACCUUAGCUAAAUGCCUCCGCUGCCAACCAGCUCUUAGCUAAAUGCCUCUGCUACCUGUUAAAUAUUUUUGUUAGAUUAUUUUGUAAUUGCACUAAUUUAAGUGUGCAAAAGUUUAAACCUACACUGUAUUUCAGGCUUAUUUUCUGACUUCAUGAGAGCACUGGUUUUGCUUUUGGUUCAGUUAUGGUUUAAAUUGAACUAUUUCUAAAGCCAAAUGUCUAUAUUUUAGGCAUUUUAUAAUUGUACUACUUUUAAUAGACAUUGGCUUCAGUUCUUCUUACAAAUAGCUUACAGUAUUAUAGUUAUAACUGAAUGUUUCUACAGCCGAACGUUUAUUUUAAGGCCUAUAUUUGUCUGCAUGGUGCUGUGCAAUUGUUUUUUUACAGUGAGGUAUAAGAGGUCUGUUCAGACAGAACUGCAUUUACAAGUUAUUUGUAAUGUUCUUGACAAUCUG